GCCAGCAGCCAUAUCACCCUGCAACUCACAGCUGGUAGCCUACUGAAGCUCAGCAGGUGUGAGCCUGGUCAGUACCUGGGUGGGAGACCUCCUGGGAAACUAAGGUUGCUGCUGGAA
This is a ribosomal RNA of Lepisosteus oculatus (spotted gar), 117 nucleotides long. Lineage: Eukaryota; Metazoa; Chordata; Actinopteri; Semionotiformes; Lepisosteidae. The record is from Ensembl.